RNAcentral lists this ribosomal RNA (492 nucleotides) under Eriogyna pyretorum pearsoni. Its description in RNAcentral is "partial 16S ribosomal RNA". The record is from RNAcentral. Lineage: Eukaryota; Metazoa; Arthropoda; Insecta; Lepidoptera; Saturniidae.
GCCUGUUUAUCAAAAACAUGUCUUUUUGAAAAUAAUUUAAAGUUUAAUUUGCCCCCUGAUAAAAAAAAAUUAAAGGGCUGCAGUAUUUUGACUGUACAAAGGUAGCAUAAUCAUUAGUUUUUUAAUUGGUGGCUUGUAUGAAAGAUUGAAUGAGAUAUAAACUGUUUAAAAAAUAAUUAAUUGAAUUUAAUUUUUUAAUUAAAAAGUUAAAAUAUUUUAAAAAGACGAGAAGACCCUAUAGAGUUUUAUAUUAUUUAUUGAUUUAAAUUAUAUAUAAAAAUAAUAAAUUAUAAAUUAGAAAUAAUAUUUUAUUGGGGUGAUAAAAAAAUAAAAAAAACUUUUUUUAAUAUUAAACAUAAAUAAAUGGUUAUUUGAUCCAAUUUUAUUGAUUAAAAGAAAGAAUUACCUUAGGGAUAACAGCGUAAUUUUUUUUUUUAGUUCAUAUAAAAAAAAAAGUUUGCGACCUCGAUGUUGGAUUAAGAUAAAAUUUAA